CGCCUCUUAGCUCAGUGGGUAUGAGCAGCUGGCUUUUAACCAGCGGGUCCUGGGUUCGAAUCCCAGAGGGGUGA
This 74-nucleotide transfer RNA is filed under the name Crassvirales sp. RNAcentral's name for it is "tRNA-Lys". It matches the Rfam family "tRNA". From Rfam's summary of the family: Transfer RNA (tRNA) molecules are approximately 80 nucleotides in length. Their secondary structure includes four short double-helical elements and three loops (D, anti-codon, and T loops). Further hydrogen bonds mediate the characteristic L-shaped molecular structure. tRNAs have two regions of fundamental functional importance: the anti-codon, which is responsible for specific mRNA codon recognition, and the 3' end, to which the tRNAs corresponding amino acid is attached (by aminoacyl-tRNA synthetases). tRNAs cope with the degeneracy of the genetic code in two manners: having more than one tRNA (with a specific anti-codon) for a particular amino acid; and 'wobble' base-pairing, i.e. permitting non-standard base-pairing at the 3rd anti-codon position. The record is from RNAcentral. Lineage: Duplodnaviria; Heunggongvirae; Uroviricota; Caudoviricetes; Crassvirales.